AUAUGAUGAAUACCUUUUAUCUAUUAACUUUCGUUCUACUGAGUAGAAAAUGCGGAGAAAUUUACCUG
RNAcentral lists this small nucleolar RNA (68 nucleotides) under Drosophila guanche. Lineage: Eukaryota; Metazoa; Arthropoda; Insecta; Diptera; Drosophilidae. The record is from RNAcentral.